This 497-nucleotide ribosomal RNA is filed under the name uncultured bacterium. Its description in RNAcentral is "partial 16S ribosomal RNA". It matches the Rfam family "Bacterial small subunit ribosomal RNA", at positions 28 to 507 of the family's 1533-position model. The record is from RNAcentral.
GAUGAACGCUGGCGGCGUGCCUAAUACAUGCAAGUCGAGCGAACGGACGAGAAGCUUGCUUCUCUGAUGUUAGCGGCGGACGGGUGAGUAACACGUGGAUAACCUACCUAUAAGACUGGGAUAACUUCGGGAAACCGGAGCUAAUACCGGAUAAUAUUUUGAACCGCAUGGUUCAAAAGUGAAAGACGGUCUUGCUGUCACUUAUAGAUGGAUCCGCGCUGCAUUAGCUAGUUGGUAAGGUAACGGCUUACCAAGGCAACGAUGCGUAGCCGACCUGAGAGGGUGAUCGGCCACACUGGAACUGAGACACGGUCCAGACUCCUACGGGAGGCAGCAGUAGGGAAUCUUCCGCAAUGGGCGAAAGCCUGACGGAGCAACGCCGCGUGAGUGAUGAAGGUCUUCGGAUCGUAAAGCUCUGUUAUUAGGGAAGAACAGAUGUGUAAGUAACUGUGCACAUCUUGACGGUACCUAAUCAGAAAGCCACGGCUAACUACGUG